CGAACCCGGUAGUUAAGCCUCUCAGCGCCGAUGGUACUGCAUGGGAGACUGUGUGGGAGAGUAGGACGCCGCCGGAC
Actinomadura sp. is the source of this 77-nucleotide non-coding RNA. The record is from Rfam. NCBI's taxonomy places the organism in Bacteria, Bacillati, Actinomycetota, Actinomycetes, Streptosporangiales, Thermomonosporaceae.